GUUUGUUGUGUUUGAAACCUAAAUUUAUUUUGUUAAUUUGCGGCUGCACCCAAAACUCGAUCGGGCUGCCUACGUACCCUUUUAAAGGGAUCAAGCCACUCGUAGUUCAUCAUUUUAUACUAAUUAUCCACCUUCAAUAACAAUUGUGUCGAAUCUGGAAUUUGUGUGGGUGUAAGUCCUCAAAUUGAUAAGGACACCAAGUUCUCAAUCCCACACUUCCUCUCAUUUUUUCCGAUAGUUUCCUAAUUACAUACCAUGCUCGCUCAUAUUAAGUUCAUCGUCACAUUCCAAUUCACCUUUAAGCUUGCUCAAAUCAACACUUCAAUUACUAACCUAUCUCUGAUUUUACUAUGGACACCCAACACCUCUAUUUGGGAUUCCUCUUGCUUCUGCGAUUCUUCCCAAAUCCAAUACCAUGCUCAUUCUUUUUCACCAUUCUACAAUAUCGUUCUAGGCAUACGAACUUACUCAUAAUGAACAAGUACACCUACAGAUACUUUCAUUAUCCAACUUAACAUCUUUCUUCUACUUCCUCUAUUUCUGAGAUCAAACCUCCAUUUGACAAAACAUCAUAAAUCAACAGAUACAUGAAACCACCAAAAUCAGAGUAACAAAAUUAUUACUCUCACUCCCAACAACACCAACACAAUAACCUGAUAUGAACAACAAAUCCAAAAUCAUCACCGCUGCCAAUUACCGCCCCUGCCAACACCAACACAGUACUCCAAAAUUCCAAACCUUCAAUUUUCAAUCAAACUGCAUCUCAAGUACACAGAGAAUAUGAAAUUCGAAACCAGAUAUGAAUCAAACACCUUCACCGCCGCCGUGCACAGCAGCACACACGGCGGUCCUCCUUUGCCAAAACCCAACUUCUUCAAAUCCCAACCAAUCUCAAUUUUAAUUAUAUAAACAGGUAGAGCUCGACUAACUGACCCAUUUUCAUACCUGAGUCGACAUCAAAGCACACCGGAAUCCGUCGAACUCUCGCCGAAAAAUUUAAACCACUCCUUAACAUCGGUUCUCACUCACCGGACCUCAUCUCAGCAAGCUGAAGGCACAGGAACGUCGACAAGACCGAGACAAAGCUACCAACACCAUCCACGCCCGCCGCCGUGGCCGGAAUCGAGAACUUGCCGGCAACCCAAAAAAGUUUCCUUUCUUCGAAUCUCUCUCUCCUCAGCUUCCCAUGAAAAUCCAAUGGCACAGAGACGUCAGGGAGAACGAGACCAAACUGCCAAUACCGGUCAUGCUCGCCGCCGUCGCCGGAAUCGGAAAUCCGAUCGUAAACCCAAUCACCUUCUGUCCUCCUUUACUCUCUCACCGGAGCUCCACUCUUCAAAAUGGAGUCACAGGGAGAUUGGGGACGUCGAGACGGGCCUGUAGAUACCAGCCUUGCACCGGAAGGCGACCGGACGACGAAGGAGGGGGUUGAGCUCCGUCGCUGCCGAGCCGCUCUCCCGACCAAGUCGGUCUGCCUUUUCUACUCCUUUUCUCUCUCGAACCUUCUUUUACUCUUCCUCCCCCCCUUCUCGACCCUUCUCCUUUUCUCCAAAAAAAUAUCCACAUCCCUUUACCGGGAUAGUAACCUUCGGUAAAGGGAACUUUCCAUUUUAGACCAUAACUUUCUUAUACAAACUCCGAUUUGAGCGUGCCACGUGUCCACGAACUCGUAUUAACGUCCUCUACGACUUCCAUGAAGGAAGUUUUCCCAAAUUAUCGACUUAACGAAAAGUCAACCUUUGGAUCUUUUACGGUAAAACGGUUACAAGAAACAAUAAUUGAAAAUUUACUAUAAACUUCAUAAAUUCAAAGAACAUAGCUCGUCGCUCCGAAAAAUAAUCCGGGCAUACCGAUGAGCUCGUAUAAACGUGUACCACGACUUCGGAGUUUUAAAUCCACUAUUUACCGUUUUUAGAAAAACUCGAAAACAACUCGAGCAAUCACUAUUUAAAUCUCUGAGCGCGAAUAAAGAAAAAUUCGCGGUAACUCAUAACCCCGAAUAGUAACCUUUUAGGUACGGGGUAUUACAAUCUUUCCCCUUAAAAGAAAUUUCGUCCACGAUUGGUUAAAUGGUCAAUACCCAUAACAAUUCACUUUCUUUUCUAUGUCGGGCUUCAGUACCCAUAACAUAUUUUUCCAUUUCCCUACAUGGGAACUCGACUUUUACUAGUCUCAUAAAUCAAUUCCGAAGCUAAUCAUCUUAAGUACCAAGGGUUCCUAUUUUACCAGGACACCACUCUACUUCGAGUAAUUAUUUCGCUUCCUCAAAACAAAUAGGAGAUAACAAUAUCUAAUCUCAUCGUCAUUACACAAUAAUAUCCCAUCAACAUGGUCUAUGGAUUACUUGAUCCGUAUACAUUCAUUGCAUAAACACGCCAUAAUCUAGGACAUUAAGUCCAAAUAGGCAUAAAUAUAAUUACCUACCCAACCAAGAAGUCAAGUCCUCCUAGACUUAUCGACUCAACAAUGAAUGAGUCAACGUCGUCGUCAAUAUUUUACAAUCUUCGACGACCAAAUAAAAAAUGAAGGAAAUGUAUCUCUCUAUCAAUCAAACACCAGCACAAGGAGAUCAAUCCUCGUAAAAGAUCAACGUACACAAUACCGGCUAUACUUUUAGCCUUCCAUACCUCAAGUAUGAGGAAAAACACAGUGAAACUCCAUAACCGGCUUCCACAAUUAAAUCCAUGAUUUAUCGUGUGAGUAGAAGGUAUCUCAUCACCCAACCUGAGUUUGUUAUGCACUCGCUAUCCACGAACUCAGUUCUAAUUAUCAUUUACGUGACAUGAAGUCUAUGAAUCAUCAUACACGAUAUAAGCUGCUUUCCAGCUUCCCACAUCUUAAAAAAAUGAGGGAAAUACGAUGGCACUCUAUAACCAGGUUUAACUUCAAAACUCAUUGUCUAAAAACAUCAUAGUAAGUAUCUUAUACGAUCCAUAUAUGUUGUAUACUUACAUAUAACCGCGUCCUUACAUUAACAUAACAAUUCCUUGACCAUGAAGAAACGAUAACUACCAAUUAGCUUAUCAUAACUAUUGCUCAUUUACAGCAACAUAGCACAAAUCAUGUUCUCUAACUUAGAAUAUAUCAUAUAACCAAAGACUCAGACCACACGACACUAUGUCAUCAUGGUAGUCUAUUAAUUCCCACUGAAGAUACUAUACGAACCAAACCAGCACAAUGGUCAUUGUCCAGAAUCUAUUGCGCCAACAUAUAUAUUUUACCAAUCAAGGCCAAUUUCAAAUGUCCAAAUCCCAGUAAUUCACACUAACAAUACUUACCGACUCGAUUCCAGAAUCAAUAUAAGUAGUAAGUGGAAUUUACGAACAUCAGUUAGUAACCAAACUUUAACAUAAUCACCAUCCAAAACUGGUAUGUUCGGUCUCAAAUACCACUAGUAUCUGAGAAAGGUCCUGUGGGACCACCUUUAAGGAAAUUCUUCCGAAAAUUCGGCAGAAUCUCCUUUAAAAGUGGACUACCCUUGACCUGUAAAAAUAAUACACAUAGCCCAACAUAAACAAAUCUCUGGAGCUUACUGCUCCCGAUAUAUCCACAUUGUCGAAUGGACUAUAUAAUCAUUCAUCUUAUAUCCAUAAAUGCAGAUUUUUUUUUAUUUUUUAUUUUUUAUUUUUUGCACAUCGGAUAUGUCAUUAACUCAUAUUUACUCAAUAGAGUAAUUCAUCAUUGCAAAUCAUGAAAACCGAUUAAUAAUAAUCAUAUAUGGAAAGCACGAUUAUAUUAAUAAGGUAUAAAACCAUACCUGCUCACUCAAGUGAGUCACAUUUUCCCGUUUUAUAGCAGCAUCGUGCAAUCCCCGCACACAGCGGUAAAACCCGACGCACAGCCAUCAACCCCACACUUGGUGGUAAUACCCCGCACUCUCGGUGGUGAAAAUCCGGCACACGGCCGUAAAACUUCGCACACGGCGAUACUGUAUCCCUACCCUGGGCAGUCAUCCCGGCACUCGGCCGUAAAUCUCCACACUCGGUGGCAAUCAUCUCAGAAGUCCGCAAUCAGAUCUGGCAUUGGCAGCAAUACCCGACAUUAUGUGGUAAAACCCGGCACUUGGCCAUAACCAGUGUGGUAAGCCUACGCCCCCCAGGCAAGACGUGGUCGCACCUACACUAAACCCCGCACGUGGCGGUAACCCAAUACAGUAUCCUACGCCCCCGAGGCAAGGCAAGGUCACACCCGUACUGUAAACCCAGCCGAAGCUGUAAACCCAGCAUAUAGCUGUAAAUCACCCCACACAACAUGCCAGAAGGGUAUAACCGCUAAUACCAAAGUUGGAAUCGCCUGCAUCAAACCACUAUACCAACAUUAGUAACAUGCUUAAACCGUUGCACAUACUAAUUGAGUUCAUGUAGAACAAUUAUAAUAUAACCGCUUGUAUCAAAUUAUUCAAGAAAUUUCUUUAAUACAUACCUGCAUCCUCGAGAGAAUUGCACUGCAUCAUACUUAUAGCAAGCAACUCAAAUAAAAGGAUUAGUGAUUUAUAUCAUAAAAUCACAUAUAUGAUGACCCAAGUCAUAGAUUAGUGUCAUGGUGUGGGUCCCAAUGACCACAACAUAAUAGCACAUGAUAAUAGUAUAGGUAAGGGUAAAAUAUUGUAUAGCCCUUUUGGUUUGAAGUUGACAUUUGUUUAGUCCUUAUGAUUUUAUUUUAAUCUGAAUAGUCCUUAAAAUCACGAUUUUUCAUCCAAAUGGUCCUUAUGGUUUUAUUUUAAUCUGAAUAAACCUUAAAGUCAUGAUUUUUCAUCCAAAUAGUCAUUAUGGCCUUUAACUGAGAAAAUGAAUCAGAAUGACUAUUUGGAUGAAAAAUCAUGACUUUAAGGACUAUUCAGAUUAAAAUAAAACCAUAAGAACUAUUUGGAUGAAAAAUUAUGAUUUUAAGGACUAUUUAGAUUAAAAUAAAACCACAAGGACUAAACAGAUGUAGACUUCAAACCACAAGGACUAAACAAAUUUCAAUUCUAUAGGUAAUUUACGUAAUACCAGAAUGAUAUUAACAUAACAUUCACCAACUCAAAUCAUGAUGAUAGUCAUGCAACUAAAUGAAUUAAGUGAUACAGGAGGAGGCACACAUAAUUAUAUACCACAUAAUCUAUAGAUAUAUAUACACAACUAGGUUGCCGUACCUGAUGUCCAGAAUUGUGUCCUUCUCAUCGUUCUAAUACCGAAGUGCUUAUAAACACAUCUCGAAACUUAAACGAUAGUAAGCACUUUAUUCACCUUGUCAACAUAUAUGAUCAUUUGUAGUCGAACAGUGCAAGUAACAUAAUAUACAUGUUCCAUGCACAAGUAUUUAAUGAAGAAGCUUCCUAGCUCAUACAUCAUCAAAAGUAUAUAAGUUCCUUAGAAAUCAAACUCACACCACAAAGUAGCUCACUAUCAGUUAUUCAUCACAAAUAACACAUGGUUCAAAUAAAACUGAUAACUAGUUGUCAUAAUAUCAUCCGGUUUCAUUCUUCAACUUAAGGAUAGUUCUGAGAGACAUGCUUCUCUCAUAAUUCUCAAUACAUAAGUACAACAUCAAAUUUCACAUGGAAGGAGUAUUGAAACCUAGGUUAAGUCUUGUGCCAUCCAGGCAUACUGAUUCUCAACCUAAGACAAGAAAAUUUCGUAAAAAGAUUCCGUCAAGAAAAGAAAACGUAGAUAUACCAACAAUGGUCUACAUGAUAUUCCCGCAGACAAGAUUUCCCAAGUGCUCAUUUUAGAUCAGUAAUCCAAACCUAAUUUAAACCAAACCAAGAAGACGUUCCUCUAAAGUUUCAAAACCAAAUGUCAACAUAAUAGAAAUAUAGAAUCAAAUAUAGCAUUAGGCAUCCACAUAACCGUAGAAACGAACCAAGCAUUCAUCAAACCACCCAAAUCAAACCAAAUAAUAGCAAAGGGAUGCAAUAGUCAAACACUGUUAUAGCAUACCAAAAACAAACAACUCAACACCACAAAUUAUUGGAGCGACCAUGGAAGCCAUCAGUCUAUUCGUUCAUAAAAUAAACGAAGUUUGUUUGCAACUUGCAAAAAUUAAGAACCUUGUACCAGACCAUAUAAGAGCAAGAUAAGUCAAUAUAAUGCAAUCGUGGUAGCUACUGACUACCUAAAAGUUCCAAAAUCCUUUCCCCUCUACCUGUUCACCCCAAGGGAUCCUAUCCCCGCACUGAUACCAAUUUGUAACACCCUGACCCAGGUGUUAGGAAAAAUAAACGAAUAAAAUAACUAAGAAAAUUCUAAAUCGAAACGGUGGUAGGACCUCAAAACAAACAAAAGGUUUGUUGUGUUUGAAACCUAAAUUUAUUUUGUUAAUUUGCGGCUGCACCCAAAACUCGAUCGGGUUGCCUACGUACCCUCUUAAAGGGAUCAAGCCACUCGUAGUUCAUCAUUUUAUACUAAUUCUCCACCUUCAAUAACAACUGUGUCGAAUCUGGAAUUUGUGUGGGUGUAAGUCCUCAAAUUGAUAAGAACACCCAAGUUCUCAAUCCCACACUUCCUCUCACUUUCUCCGAUAGUUUCCUAAUUACAUACCAUGCUCGGUCAUAUUAAGUUCAUCGUCACAUUCCAAUUCAC
RNAcentral lists this long non-coding RNA (6563 nucleotides) under Fragaria vesca (wild strawberry). Its description in RNAcentral is "long non-coding RNA (FVES_LNC005587)". Lineage: Eukaryota; Viridiplantae; Streptophyta; Magnoliopsida; Rosales; Rosaceae. The record is from RNAcentral.